RNAcentral lists this transfer RNA (77 nucleotides) under Clostridiales bacterium. RNAcentral describes it as "tRNA-Arg". It matches the Rfam family "tRNA". From Rfam's summary of the family: Transfer RNA (tRNA) molecules are approximately 80 nucleotides in length. The record is from RNAcentral. Lineage: Bacteria; Bacillati; Bacillota; Clostridia; Eubacteriales.
GCGCCAUUAGCUCAACUGGAUAGAGUGGCAGACUUCGAAUCUGUAGGUUGGGGGUUCGAAACCCUCAUGGCGCACCA